AUUGAACGCUGGCGGCAUGCCUAACACAUGCAAGUCGAACGAAGCCUUCGGGCUUAGUGGCGCACGGGUGCGUAACGCGUGGGAAUCUGCCCUUGGGUUCGGAAUAACAGUUAGAAAUGACUGCUAAUACCGAAUGAUGUCUUCGGACCAAAGAUUUAUCGCCCAAGGAUGAGCCCGCGUCGGAUUAGCUAGUUGGUGAGGUAAAGGCUCACCAAGGCGACGAUCCGUAGCUGGUCUGAGAGGAUGAUCAGCCACACUGGGACUGAGACACGGCCCAGACUCCUACGGGAGGCAGCAGUGGGGAAUAUUGGACAAUGGGCGAAAGCCUGAUCCAGCAAUGCCGCGUGAGUGAUGAAGGCCUUAGGGUUGUAAAGCUCUUUUGCCAGGGAAGAUGAUGACUGUACCUGGAGAAUAAGCCCCGGCUAACUUCGUGCCAGCAGCCGCGGUAAU
This 450-nucleotide ribosomal RNA is filed under the name uncultured bacterium. RNAcentral describes it as "bacterial SSU rRNA". It matches the Rfam family "Bacterial small subunit ribosomal RNA", at positions 30 to 524 of the family's 1533-position model. The record is from RNAcentral.